AAAUGGACCAGGUGGCUGCAAGGAACCAAGGUUAUGAAUUUACAUUCCAAUGCAGCUACUACUAUGGUGGAUCAGAGCCAAUUAUUCAGACAAAUGAGAGCAAGUCCUCCACAGGCAGCGGUUUCUCAGUCCCAGGGGAGAGGGCAUUCAGAUGAUGAUGGCAGACAGACAGUGGCAGGUGGAAGCUCCCUGGACUGGUGACAGGAGACAGCUAGCUAGGAGAGAGAUGGAGAGAAAGAAUGGAGAAGUGACAGGUGUGAGUGUUGACGAGGACAAGGCUGUAGAUCACUCUGUCAUGCUGAUUGAGUUCGAAUAACAGACUGGAAGCUUCAAAAGGAGGGUGGUGCUUGGAGUCAUUGUUCUUCCUCUGUCAACCAUGGUUACCUGCAAGGAAACAUGUGACGUCGUCUUUGCUUUACACAAAAAGGGCUUCACAGGCAAUGAUGUUGCUGCCAGUAAGAUUGCAUCUAAAUCAACCAUUUAUCGGAUCAUCAAGAACUUCAAGGAGAGCGG
Long non-coding RNA from Oncorhynchus tshawytscha (Chinook salmon), 513 nucleotides. NCBI's taxonomy places the organism in Eukaryota, Metazoa, Chordata, Actinopteri, Salmoniformes, Salmonidae. The record is from Ensembl.